RNAcentral lists this ribosomal RNA (302 nucleotides) under Ornithodoros sp. ALB-2015. RNAcentral's name for it is "partial 16S ribosomal RNA". It matches the Rfam family "Bacterial large subunit ribosomal RNA", at positions 2090 to 2620 of the family's 2925-position model. The record is from RNAcentral. Lineage: Eukaryota; Metazoa; Arthropoda; Arachnida; Ixodida; Argasidae.
CCUAUGAAUUUUUUCAAAGACCUUUCUUGUUUGGAUCUUUGAAAAAAUUCAAGAAAGGUUUUUGAUUAAUUGGGGUGAUUUUUAAAUUUUAAAAAACUUUAGAAGUGUAUUACUAGAUCCAAUAUUAUUGAUGAUUUAAAAAAAAUACUCUAGGGAUAACAGCGUUAUUACUUUGGAUAGUUCAUAUAGAUAAAGUAGAUUGCGACCUCGAUGUUGGAUUAGGAUACCUUUAUUAAUGAAGAAGUUAUAAAAGGAGGUUUGCUCAACCUUCAAAUUCCUACAUGAUCUGAGUUCAGACCGGA